Molecule: ribosomal RNA, 488 nt
Filed under: uncultured bacterium
Lineage: Bacteria
Description: partial 16S ribosomal RNA
Rfam family: Bacterial small subunit ribosomal RNA
Source: RNAcentral
GACGAACGCUGGCGGCGUGCUUAACACAUGCAAGUCGAACGCGCCUGUCCUCUGGGUUUCUGGGGGGUGGGUGAGUGGCGAACGGGUGAGUAACACGUGAGUAACCUGCCCCCUUCUUCGGGAUAACGGUCUGAAAGGGCUGCUAAUACCGGGUAUUCACUGGUCUCCGCAUGGGGUCUGGUGGAAAGGUUUUUUUCUGGUGGGGGAUGGGCUCGCGGCCUAUCAGCUUGUUGGUGGGGUGAUGGCCCACCAAGGCUUUGACGGGUAGCCGGCCUGAGAGGGUGACCGGUCACAUUGGGACUGAGAUACGGCCCAGACUCCUACGGGAGGCAGCAGUGGGGAAUAUUGCACAAUGGGCGCAAGCCUGAUGCAGCGACGCCGCGUGAGGGAUGGAGGCCUUCGGGUUGUGAACCUCUUUCGCCCGUGGUCAAGCCGCGACGUGGGUCGAGGUGAGGGUAGUGGGUAAAGAAGCGCCGGCUAACUACGUG